AUCCAACUGAUGACUCCCAAAUAGGAUGAAACGCGUGUGCUGGAU
Molecule: non-coding RNA, 45 nt
Filed under: Schistosoma curassoni
Lineage: Eukaryota; Metazoa; Platyhelminthes; Trematoda; Strigeidida; Schistosomatidae
Source: RNAcentral